GAAUAUUGGGCAAUGGAGGAAACUCUGACCCAGCAACGCCGCGUGAAUGAUGAAGGUCUUCGGAUUGUAAAGUUCUUUUCUAAGGGAAGAAGAAAGUGACGGUACCUUAGGAAUAAGCCUCGGCUAACUACGUGCCAGCAGCCGCGGUAAUACGUAGGAGGCGAGCGUUAUCCGGAAUGACUGGGCGUAAAGGGUGCGUAGACGGGAAGGCAAGUUGGUUGUGAAAUCCCUCGGCUUAACUGAGGAACUGCAACCAAAACUAUCUUUCUUGAGUGCUGGAGAGGAAAGUGGAAUUCCUAGUGUAGCGGUGAAAUGCGUAGAUAUUAGGAGGAACACCAGUGGCGAAGGCGACUUUCUGGACAGUAACUGACGUUGAGGCACGAAAGUGUGGGGAGCAAACAG
Molecule: ribosomal RNA, 402 nt
Filed under: uncultured bacterium
Lineage: Bacteria
Description: bacterial SSU rRNA
Rfam family: Bacterial small subunit ribosomal RNA
Source: RNAcentral